UACGUAUGGUGCAAGCGUUAUCCGGAUUUACUGGGUGUAAAGGGAGCGCAGGCGGCACGGCAAGCCUGAUGUGAAAGCCUUCGGCUUAACCGGAGUAGUGCAUUGGAAACUGGGAGACUUGAGUGCAGAAGAGGAGAGUGGAACUCCAUGUGUAGCGGUGAAAUGCGUAGAUAUAUGGAGGAACACCGGUGGCGAAAGCGGCUCUCUGGCCUGUAACUGACACUGAGGCUCGAAAGCGUGGGGAGCAAACAGG
This 253-nucleotide ribosomal RNA is filed under the name uncultured bacterium. RNAcentral describes it as "partial 16S ribosomal RNA". It matches the Rfam family "Bacterial small subunit ribosomal RNA", at positions 524 to 776 of the family's 1533-position model. The record is from RNAcentral.